GUCUACAGCCAUGCCACACUGAACGAGCCCGAUCCCAUCUGAUCUCAGAAGCUAAGCAGGGUCGGGCCUGGUUAGUACUUGGAUGGGAGACCACCUAGGAAGACCAGGUGCUGUAGGCA
Molecule: ribosomal RNA, 119 nt
Filed under: Pteropus alecto (black flying fox)
Lineage: Eukaryota; Metazoa; Chordata; Mammalia; Chiroptera; Pteropodidae
Source: RNAcentral